AGAGCAUUCCUGUCCUCCAGGGAGCCAAGGUGGGAAGGUCCCUAAGGCAGAGGAGCGUGGGUGCUGACUGUCCUCUGCGGGACUGUACCAGCUCGAGGCACCUUCCCAUUGCCCAGCGACAUCUCCUGUUCUUACCUCUGCGUGCAGGGUCCUGCAUUCGUGGCAUUCCCACGUGGUGGCGAGACACCAGGAGAGGAUGAGGAGAGCCCAGAGCACAAGCUGAGGCUUUGCCCUUCGCAGUACUCAUAUGUGCAAAGCUCUGGGGAGCAGAUCCGGUGCCCAACGGCGGGAUCCAGGAAAGCCUCUGAGGCACAGAGGCUCCCAAGAUCGAUGUCCAGCAAAAGCCUCCUCCAGGAGCACAGGCAGCAGCAGCGCCGGCCAGCCAGGCUGUUACCGGCCGUGCUUCCGUCUGAUCAGCAAAGAGCUCUAUGCAAA
This is a long non-coding RNA of Pezoporus flaviventris, 435 nucleotides long. RefSeq lists it as uncharacterized. The record is from RefSeq and is a predicted model, not a curated record. The transcript is spliced from 2 exons. NCBI's taxonomy places the organism in Eukaryota, Metazoa, Chordata, Aves, Psittaciformes, Psittacidae.